UCGAAACCCGCAAAGCAGACCCGCGAACAUGUUUAAAUACGCUCGGGUUCGUGACGUCGGAUGCCCAUGCGCCCGACAACACGACCUCGACCCUCGGCGGCGCGAGUCGCUGGGGCUGACUAACCUAUCGGCGCGGCAAGCGCCAAGGAAAACCAAUCGAACACCUUUCCGUCCUGUUGCCGUGCGCGGCACACAGGGCGUGAUGAGGAGCAUCUAUAUAACAUAGAUAUAACGACUCUCGGCAACGGAUAUCUCGGCUCUCGCAUCGAUGAAGAACGUAGCGAAAUGCGAUACUUGGUGUGAAUUGCAGAAUCCCGUGAACCAUCGAGUCUUUGAACGCAAGUUGCGCCCGAAGCCAUCUGGUUGAGGGCACGUCUGCCUGGGCGUCACGCAUCUCGUCGCCCCCCACCAACAUCGUAUUCCCAGCUCGAAGGGUUCGGAGCACGAUGCGUCGGAGGGGUGGAUAUUGGCCUCCCGUUACCCACGCGUAGCGGUCGGCUCAAACAGGACUCCGUGUCGAUGGACGUGACACGAUUCAUGGUGAUUGGACUCAUCAACUAGCAAACCGUCGUGUGACACUGCAUCGAUCCACGGGCAACGACCCAACGGCACGAAAGUGCCCUCGAUUGCG
RNAcentral lists this ribosomal RNA (631 nucleotides) under Metapetrocosmea peltata. RNAcentral's name for it is "eukaryotic LSU rRNA". The stretch from base 234 to 389 matches the Rfam family "5.8S ribosomal RNA". Lineage: Eukaryota; Viridiplantae; Streptophyta; Magnoliopsida; Lamiales; Gesneriaceae. The record is from RNAcentral.